UUUAAAGUCUGGCACAAAAUCAUUUAGUGGCAAAACUUGACCUGUUUUGAAUGAAUUCAAAUUAUUUAUGGAGUUUAUUUUUCCAACUUAAUGUGAUUAUUCAUAGACUUCAGAAUCUUUUUUUUUUAAUACUUAUUUAUUUAUUUGAAAGGUAGAGUUACAGAGGCAGAAGAAGAGAGAGAGAGAGAAGUCUUCUAUCUGCUGGUUUACUCCCCAGAUGGCUGCAAUGUCCAGGGCCAGGCCCAUGUGAAGCCAGAAGGCUGGAGCUUCUUCCAGGUCUCCCACAUGGGUACAGGGGCCCAAAGACUUGGGCCAUCUUCCACUGCUUUCCCAGGCCAGAGCAUAGCAGAGAGCUGGAUUGAAAGUGGAGCAGCCAGGACUUAAACCUGUGCCCAUAUGGGAUGCCGGCACUGUGGCAGCUUUACUAGCUACGCCAGCCUCUCACUACACAAUCUUAACGUAUUUGAAUAAAGAGUUCUUCUCUAGGACUUGUGGAUUUUAUGUCCUUAAUGGCAUAUCUCUGUAGUAUCUUUCUUAAAAUCUAUAAGGAGUUGGGGAAGCAGAAUUUUAAGACACAUUUGGUUACAAGAUGUUUGAAUUUGAAAUUUGUACCAAUAUUAGCACCUGCCUUUAAGGGGUUGUUGUGUAGACUCAAUGAAUUAACAUAUGUAAAACUCUACUACAUAGCACAAAGUAAACAGUAAAUUUUCCUUAGUAUUAUAAGACCUUUUUUUUUAAAGUAUUAUUUUAUUUAUUUAAAAGUCAGAGUUACACACAGAGAGAGAAGGAGAGGCAGAGAGAGAGGUCUUCCAUUCCGCUGGUUCACUCCCCAAAUGACCGUAACAGCCAGAGCUGAGCUGAGGAGCCAGGAGCUUCUUCCAGGUCUCCUAUGUGGGUGCAGGCGCCCAAGGAGUUGGGCCAUCUUCUACUGCUUUUCUGGCCAUAGCAGAGAGCUGGAUCAGAAUAGGAGCAGCAAAGACUCGAACUGGCACCUACAUGGGAUGCUGGCACUGCAGGCUGGGGCUUUAACCCGCUGUGCCACAGUGCCGGCCCCAGACCUUUUGUUUUUUCUGCUAUUGUGGGAGUGAGAUCUAUAAUUCCAUUUGUAUUUUAUUGGAGACCUGUUUGUCUCUUUUAGCUCUUAUCCUGAUGACUGGCUAAUGUAUAUUGUACCAGUUGUUGGUUGGUUGGGUUUUUUGUAUGUUUGCCUUUUUUUUUUUUUUGAGACAGUUGAGGAGAGGAGGAGAGCUCAUCAGGAUUUAUGGGAAGCUAGGCUUUGAAAGCCUGAUCCCUGCUCUCAAUACUCAGACUUGGUAAAAAGCCCUGUUUAGAGUUUACUAUAACUAUCUGAAGUCUUGUGUGAGGCCCAACAAAGUACCCAGCUUGGGGUAGAGCCUGGAAGCUGUUCCUUGCAUACAAGCAAGGUAUGCUGGGAUUUGACUCCUUUACCUGCAUCUCCUAAUUGCUGCUUCUACUUCCAAAAAGUAGGUGACACUUGUGGGUUGAACUUGCAGCUUCAUCAUUAGUUGAGAGGGAACAGUACUGCAAAUGAGUUUCUGGAUCUCUUGAACCCUCAAAGGAACUUGUUUUGUUUCUCUUCUGUAUAUGUGUAUUUAUAUAUACAAAUAUAUGUGUGUGAGUGUGUGUGAGUGUGUUUGUGUACUUUCUGUUUUGCUAGAUACAUAUAUUUUGUUGGAUAUAAUUAACUCUAGGCGAUAGUGAAUAGCCUGUCUCCUCUUUGCAGCUUUGUUCUCACAAGGAAAAAACAAGACACAAAACAGACAGUGAAUUAUGGAGGCUUUUUUUCUUGAAUUGGUGAAGACACUGGUAGCUGUUUAAGUUUCUCUUCUUUGAAUCAUAUUUACAUUUAGUCUUCUUGUAUUAGAAGUAUUAUACCUUUUUUUGAAGAAGUUUAUGGAAAGUGGAACUAAAAACUAAAUUUUCGUCCAAAAAUUUUGAAAUCCAUGUAUCCUAGGGUCUUCAAAAAUGUUUACAGAAAGUAUGUAUUGUUUUAAACAAACACUAUGCGUGGAUUUUAAAAUUAUUUAGCAGCAAAAUAAAGUUAUUUAUCUGUCAUAUGAGAGAAUCUGUGAUGGUUUCACUCUACCAACUUUUUCAUAAUAUCCUUCCUGCUACAUUAUGUGUUAUAGUAAGAAGAAAUGUUGCCCUAUUGGGCAGCUCACAGGAAUCCAUACAUAAAGGUAACUAGACACAGACAAUUUAAUUUUUUUAUGCAGAAAGAAGCCAGAAGAAGCCCACAGAACUGAGCUCUACCAAGUGUCACAGUGAAAAAGCUUCAUCGUUAAUGUGCACCAAUCAUGCUUUUCAUAUAGUCAUCUCUCUAUCCAUAUUUUCUGAACAUAGGCUAAAAGGUUAAGACCUACAGAUAGAGAAGCAUAAAUAAGAGAAACUGAAAUUCCUGCCUUCGGAGAGCUUACAUUCUAUUGGUGAAAAGCAGAUAAUAUGCUAGUUAGUACAUCCUGUAACUUAUUGGAAAAUCUAAGAGCCGUGGAGAAAGAUAAAUCACAGCAAGCUGGUAGGGCUGGGGGCAAGGGUAGCUUGCAAUUUCUCCAAUUUGGGGAAGGCUUCAUGAGAAGAUGACAUUUGAGAAAAGUUUUGACAAACACAAGGAAGAAAGUCAUGUAUAUUUCUGGAGAGAAUAGUAUUCAGGCAGAGGGACAUAGCAAGAUAAUGUUUUUCUCUAUUUUUAUUUUUCUUCUCCUUUCUUCUGGAUAUAGCAGAUAAAAGUUACUUAACAACCUGGCAACUCGGAAAAUUGUUUCAGUUUUCACCUCCAUAUCCAUGCACAGCAUAACCUUUAAGGACUGCAUACUUUAAAACAAAUACUCAUGUUUGUAAUAAAACAUAUUUGUAACUUUAAGUACUCCUUUUGGCUAUACAAGAAUGAGAAUGCAAAAAUUAGCCACUGUCAAUAAAUACAUGUUCUAAUAAAUUUACCUUGAUGCCCAUACUUUGAGUUAGCAUAUGUAGAUUAUUGGUUAGAUCCAAGCAGCACGUCUGAUUGGGCCUCAGCAAAGACAAGUUCCAUGAACUGAUAGAAAAUCUGACAGACUAUUUUAAGCAAAAAUGGCUUCUUUUUUCUUCUAUUUGUAUCUUGCUGCUUAUUUAUUGGCUAAAUGGUGGCCUAGGUUUAAACUGUGAUUUCCUCUAUACUCUCCACAUUGAUCUACUUCAUAAAAUAGAGGAAAAUGAUCUAAAAGCAAACAUGGACUUUUGCUUCAAUGGGCUGCUUGGUUUUAUUAGUUGAUAUCAAUUUGAAAGCACAUUGUUCUCUAGAGAGAAUAUACGUCUAUUUUUAUUUUUUUAAAAAAGAAUUUAACAAAUAACUUUCAACAUAUGCCUAAUUCUACUGGGGAAAGGCAUCAAUAAAACAGUAUUUGGGAUUUAGAACAAUGAUCUAAAAAUAGCUCUUUUCCUCUUUUGGAAAAAAAAUCACUGUGAAAUGAUUUUUCCUUCUCAUUCUGAGCAUUGCAUAAAGCAAAACCAAUUCGCAGCGACUCUAAGUAUAUUCUCAAAAAGAAAUCUCCAGUCAUUUUCAGCUCAGGACCCUGGAGACCUCAUUAUACUGCCAUUACAAGCAGACCUGCCUUUCUGCUAGUGGAUUGACCAAGUGGCACAGGGAUUGCUAUGCAGAUACAUUUCCUAGUAGCUGGCAUACAUACAAAUAUGCCCAAGCAUACUUCCCUCUGCGUAGUCAUUGUGUUUCUGGAAAAUUGUGCUUUGAUUUCAUUGUAUUUUAAAAAACUUACACCAGCGAUUCUCCCAGGGCAUACUCCCUAGGCAGGCUUAUCAGUAUCACUGAUGUUUAGAAGUCUUUGUGAAAAUUCCAUGUUUGGUGUCACCUUCUUUUGCUACCUCAUUUGACAGGAACUGCUUCCAUUGUGGGUGGGAAUCUCCACUGUGAAGAUUAUUAUUAUUCUUUGGAAAAUCACUCUGGAAAAAAAAAAAAAAAAACUAAAUGAAAGAUCUCCACGAGUGAGAUCCCAGUGGAAAGAACGGGUCAUCAAAGAAGAAGGUACCUUUCUCUGAAGGGAGGAAAGAACUUCCACUUUGACCAUGGCCUUGUCUAAAUAUGAUCAGAGUCAGUGAACUCAGGGGGCUUCCAUAGCCUUGGCACCUCAUGACAAGAGCCUAGGGUGAUUACUGAUGCCAUAAACAAGAGUGUCAAUUUGUUAAGUCAACAACAGGUGUCACUGUGCACUUACUCCUCAUGUAGGAUCUUUGUCCUUAGUGUGCUGUACAUUGAGAUUUAAUGCUAUAACUAGUACUCAAACAGUAUUUUUUCACUUUAUGUUUCUGUGUGGGAGCAAACUGUUGAAAUCUUUACUUAAUGUAUGCUAAACUGAUCUUCUGUAUAUAAAGAGAACCGAAAAUUAAUCUUGAUGUGAAUGGAAGGGGAGAGGGAGUGGGAAAGGGGAGGGUUGCGGGUGGGAGGGACGUUAUGGGGGGGAAGCCAUUGUAAUCCAUAAGCUGUACUUUGGAAAUUUAUAUUCAUUAAAUAAAAGUUUAAAAAAAAAAAAGAAAAUGUGAUGGCUCUCAUAAGAAUUAGAGUGAAGGAUGAAAACUCCAAGAGGGUUCUUUCUCUAUGAUCACACAGAAUGAAGUCUGAACCUCAAUCUUGUGGCGUUUCACAUAACUUGUUCUAAUCCUUUGUUCUUAUGUAUGUCCUCUGCUGUGAGGAACAAAGUGAGGAUAAGAGUGGAGAUUGUUUGUUUUGUAAUAUCUUGGACAUAGCAACUGCUCAAUAAAUAUUUAAGUGGUUCAAUAAAUAAUUUCAAAGAUACUGUAUUUGCAGAGGUUAAAGUAGUAUAAGGUUAUCUCAGUCUUUGAGGGAUUUAAAAUCUAAUUAGCCGAAUAAGGCAUACAUAUGUAAGGAGGAAACACAGAUCUUGGCAGUUUUCUAAGGAGAAUAAAUCCUGUUAAACAAGAGACCAUUUUAACUUGCUGAGCACCUUGAUAUAUUUGCAUAUACAAAUGUAGGCCUGAUGUUGAUUUUGAUGGUAAGCAGUGGAAGGGAUUAGAUUUCUCUACACAGUAGAAUAGUACAAAAAUGGGAGUUUCUACGCAGUGCUCCAUAAUGGGGAUGGGGUAAAAGAAGGUGAGUGAGAGGAGAGAGGAGGAACUGAAGUGAAGCUGGGGUGUAAAGAGCUAAAAGGUCAGUAAAAUUUCCCAAUAUGAAUUUCCAGAUUUUAAUAUUAUGUUGCCUUUUUUUAUUAUUGUGGUAUAGAUCUCUGCUCUGUCACCCUUGUUUCUUAAUAAUGACUGGUGAAUCCAGAUCUGUGCCUACAAGGCAGACGCAUUACUUAUAGAAUAUACACAAUUUCUGAAUCUGCAUAGUACAAAAUGCAACCAACUAGACAUCUCUAUGAUAUAAAUUUCUUCUAUUUUCCAAACUUUUGCUUGAAUCUGUCAUUUACACAAAACAUGUAUAAAUAGGUUUUUUUUUUUUCUGUUUUAUAGUUGGUUGUUUUUACUUUGCAGAUCUCAGGAAAGAGAUUGAGUUUUAUUUCUCAACUGAUCCGGGGCAGAAUAGAAAUAGCAUGUAUAGCAGGUGAUCUAUAUACUCAAUUAGUUGCAAAAGAAGGGGUUCAGAGGCAGAGGAGACUAUGAGCACAAAAGCCCCUCAAGAAUUCACUAGACUCUUGGUAUAUGGGGACUUGCAGGAGUGGAGUUUGGGACUCAUUUAGAUAGAUCUUAAUGGGUAGAUAGGUUUUAGCUAACAUCAGAAAUAUAUGAAGAGAAUAUAUGAAUAUAUAUUGAUAUAUGAAGAGAAGAAAUUGAAAUUACAUUGCAAUUUAUUAUAAGUGAUGAAUGACAAAAUAAACAGCAGAGAAGUUUAAAGUGGGGGAAGUCAUUUGAGCUGAGUCACAGGGAAACAUUUCUUGAGGGAAUAUGAACUCAAUAUGAAACUUGUGAAAGUCAGUAGACUUCCAAUAGGGGAUUAUUACUCAUAAUAUUAUUUGUUAUAGGAAUUCUGCUUUAAGUAUUUAUUCAGUUUCUAUAAUAUGUAUGUCAGGCACUAUACUAGAGUGUUCUGAUGCAAAGAUCAUUCAGCCAUAUUUGUCCACAAGGAACACAAAAUCUAAAAGCACAAUGUCAUAAAUAAGUAAUGAUAACAUAUUACUGUGGCAUGUGUCCUUGACUGGUAUAUAAGUGAAGAACACACAUGGGAGUGGUUCUGUCCUCUCGUGUUAUUUUAGGGUGGAUUUCACUAAGAAGUUGACAUCUGAACUGUGCCUGAAGGCCUCAUGUAGAUUGAAUAGGCAGAGCACAAGAAAGGAUGUUUCAAAUAGAAGGAACAAUGUAAGCAAAGCUAAGAGACUUGAAGUGCAGGUUAUGUAAAGUACAGAAGAGUCCAAGGCCGAAGGGCAGGGAAUGUAUUGCAAGAAGCCUGGAAUAUUCCUGGGCAGCAAGGAGGUGAAAGGUUUGAAGGGAAUUAUUUAGAGAGAGCAACAAGCCAUCACAGAUUUCUAAGUUGGCAAAUGUGAUUGGAUUUGUUUUGGAUAGAUAAUUGAUUGGAGAAGAGGACAAAACAGGAGAAUUUAAGGGCUAAGACUUUCCUGAAUUUCAUCUGUGCCAGGUACGUUCUCAGUAUUUGACACAUAUUAAUUGCUCGUGACAAUGCCAAGAGGUACGUCGUAUUGUUAAUCCCAGGUUCCAUAGCAGCACUGGCAGAACUAAGUUUGAAGCCCUUUGUUCUGACUGCAGACAAUGCAUUAUUAAGUACUACAGUAUACUGCCUCUUAAAAUUAAGAAAUUAAAAUUAAGGCAAAAGUCCAAGGUAGAGAUUAUGAGAUCUUAAAAUAGGAAAAUGUGUACAGGAAUGACAAAAUGGAGACAGAGCCUGAAGCCAUGACAGGGAGUUUGGGAGAAAUAAAUAAAAAAAGAUGAAUUGGUUUUCUUGUUUGGGUUGCCAGAAAUAUGUUGAAGUUAUUAAUUAAAAGAAACACAGGCAUAUACUAAAAAAUAAGAAAAAAUACAGCUUUUCAAUAUGUCAUCAUUUUAUGUACUCAAAACAUAUCUAACCAAAUGGUGACAUUGACUUCAAUAUAUAUGGACAACUUCAAAUUCAUGAAAAUAAUAAAAUGUAGAUGUUACAAAAUAUUAAAUUUAAACCUGUACUACAUAAUGCCAAAAAUUCAGAUACAAAGAGGAGUUUCAGAAGUUAAUUAAUCAAUCACCGCAUUGUUUUGUGUCACCUGAUGAGAACAUCUGGAAGACUGAAUGAGUUUCACUUUUAAUAUACUUUCUUUGCUAUUAUAUAGCUGCCAGAUUUAAGAAAUGAGGCCAAUCUCAGAGAUAUGUAUGCAAAAAAGCAGACAAUAAUAGCAUCUGUGGCUGUUUCUGGAUUGUAAAAACACUUAGCCGCUGGCACGUGCAUAUAGAUUGCUGAAUUUUGUGAAAUAAUAAAAAUAAUAACGCUUUAUAUUGUUUUGCAUAGUUUUCAGUGCUUUCCCAGGGGGAAAAUACAAAAACCAAUAUGCAUGUGUAUUCCAAAAUGAUUAGUAAUACAGCAAUAUGUAUGGAUUUUUAAUAUUUUUAUGUACUUCCUGAAUCUCUGUAAUGUAUUCAGAGCUGAAAUAACAGGGAUCACAGCGAGUUCAGCUGAGUCAGAUCAUACAUGUUUUUUUCCUUGUAUAUUUUAUAAACUAGGGAGAAUGUUAGGAUGUUUUAUUUCUUGCUGUAUAUGUAGGAUGACCGAUUUAGAAGAUGACCUUCCUUUGCUGGGCCCUAUGCUUUCACACUGUUGAUGUUUUCCACUUAGUUUUUUGAUUUGUUUCUUCAUUCAGUGUGUGUUCAGCUGUUUCUGUGUGCACCAUUAUGACAUUUCAUUUGAUGCCACUGGUGGAUGGGGAUUCUGCCUACUCAUGCAUGGUAUGGCAUGGCGGAGAGACAGACAGAAGUGUGCUGAAUGAAAGACUCUAGUUGAAAAUACUGAGUAAUGAUAUACUUUUAGGAAUGCCUAGAUAAUUAUUUAAAACAUAAAUCCCAUCAAUAAAUUUUAUGUGUCGGUACACAUCAUAUAAAGGGACUUCAAAAAUUCAUGGAGAAAUUUAUUUAUUUUGGUCCACAACUUUUUUGUGUCUUUAAAAACAGCACAUAUCAGAUUUUUCUUUUUUCCAUAUUUUUUUUCUUAUUUGAGAGGUAGAGAUACAGAGGGCUCUCAGCUUCUGGUUAACUCCCCAAAUAUCUGCAACAGCUGGGAAAGGAGUGGGCCAGAGCCAGCAGCAGGAAAAGCAAUCCAGGUCUGUUUCAUGGGUGGCAGAAGCCCGAUUACUUGAACCGUUGCCUCUCAUGGUCUCCAUUGGCAGGAAGCUGGAUUUCGAUGUUAGAGGCAGGCAUUGAACAUAGAGUAAUCCAUUGUGGGAGUCUUAGCCAACCUUUUAACUGCUAGGCUAAAUUUUGAAAUCCAUGCAUGAUUUUUUCAUAGCUUACAUAAUCCACAGACUUCUUGAAGAAACUUCCUCUAUGAAAAUUGAGGCAAAUGAUACUUUUGUUUCACAUAUCCCCAGGAAAGUGUAGGUAAGUAAAAUCUUUAUUCCUGAGGAAUUUAAAGAAUAGCAAUCGAUAGUUGUAUUUUGACAUAAUAAUAUCAGCAGUAAUGAUUAGCUAGUGAAUAUCUACCCUGCUAGGAACUUAGCAGUUGGAAGUGCUAGGCACUUAAAUUCUUUUGGUUUUUCAUAUCAACAACCACCUAGUGAGUUAGUAGUAUUAUUCCUAUUUUACAGAUAAAGAACACAAACUCAAAGAGAUCUAGUAACUUACUUGAGGUCGUGCUCUGAGUAAAGCAAGCCUUGAACACAGUUGUGCUCUGAAGGCUGUGUGUGCUCUUUUUAUUCCUGCUACACAUGGACAGCAUCACAAGACACUCAGCAGGGUGAAAGGUAUCAAAGGCUGAAAGAAUUUCAAUGAAUGAAUUAUAGAAGUCGUUUACCGAUUAAGAGUGCAGCAAAGAUCCCCAAAACACUGCAUUUAUGUUCAGUAUUUAAGCUUAACUGCUCACAUACUUGAAUUUAACCAGAAUUGGCAACUUUUUAAUAAAAUCUGAGGCUUUCUUCAUGAAUUGCCAUUUCUGUUAGAAUGUAGAAAACUAAAUUGGCUCACAUCCAGGUGAGCUUGGUCAAAGUAAUGACCAAGUAUCUGUUAAUGCACUCAAGUCAAUUCAUGAUUUUUCUUCUUUGCCUUAUUAGACUAUAUGUGAUUUCCUGGUGGUUUAUAAAAAUACCACAAUGUUAGUGAAGAGAAAGGGUCUGAUGUAUGAGCGUUCUCUGUCUACCUUGGCUGUGUCAUAUCGUCUUCAUUGGUGGUUAUUGGCAUCUGCUGCUGGUACCCCUGGUUCACGGUUGCCAGGUCCAAGUGCUUCAAGUUUUCUCCUUCAAACUCCGAGUUCCAUCAUCAGACUUACCUAUUUCCUCUUAGAGGACCUAGAAAACUCCUUUCCUUACAACACUCUAGGACUCCCAUGACUUUGCCAACCUGCCUGUAGGCUCGUCUGUCUCUCUUGCUUUGUCAGGAGUAACCACUUUACUGGCAGGUACUAUGUUGGAUGGAGUCCUCCUCUGUGCAUUCUGAAGCCUCUCAGGCCUUCUCAGGGGCACAUGUCUUCUCUGCUCUGGGAUGCAAACUUAUCUGCCUUUCUAUGUUUCCGUGCCCUUGACUCAGCUCUUCUGUAGGGGCAGGGUACAGAACCUAUUGCUUAGAGAACCGUAUAGGAGAUAACUAUUUUAAUUUCAUUUCUGUUUCUGAAUAUAUAUUCUUCACCAGCCCAGAAAUUUUUCCCCUCUGGGAAGUUGGAAAAUCUGAAGAGGAAUCUGUUCUUUCAACUUCUGUUUAUGGGUCCUUCAGAGUUUUGGCUCUUUGUGUUUAAAGCUAAGCUUUUAGUGUCCAAAAAGAUUUUUUAAAAAGCUUGAUUUUUGCAAAUAAAAAGCACCUUGCUUUCAAAGCUAUUGUGUUUGCUCUGAGUUUCACAAUUUAUAGAUUCAAUUGACUUAUACUCUUAGCUAUAUAUACCUUUCCACCGAGGAAACAAAUGCCAACUGAUUUAGUGAGGAAAAUGUUGUAGGGCAAUGAGCAUAAUAGUGGAAAACAAAACACUUUAUUAACAGAUAAUUUUAUGUCUUCACAUUAAAUUCCAUGCUAAAUAUUUUUCUCCCUUCAAGAAACACCACCCUCUCCCACCUCACCACCCCCACAUGUAGGCAUUAAUGGGAUUGGGGUGUCUGCAGUCUGUUUCUCCAGAUGUAUACUCCCCCACACAAGACAGUACACAGAUAUAGGACCAUUUCAUCGUAUGUGUCUGGCAUUCCAGUGUGUAUAGGAAACCUGGUUACCUCCCUCAGCUGGAAGCAUUAUAUUCCUCAAGUAACUCCUUUGAUUUGAUGUUUGCUAGGUGGCAAGACUUGAAGACAGGAACAGCUUUCCUGAAAAAGGAAAAGAAAAGAGGCAUGACAGCCCUUUUAGAAAAGUAACAUAUGCUUCUCCUGGUCUUUUUGCCAGUGCUAUGUCUCUGCAGAGUCCUAGUCCUAGUUCUCAAAGACAAGUUGGAAAUUAGACUCUCUAGAGCCUUGGCUCUUACUGGGACAAUUUGACUCAUAUUUAUGCCUCUCUGGUAUUUUGAAACCCUGAAAACCUACUACAGUAUAAAAUUCACAAUAUUUAUAAAGGCAAAACAAAAGAGAGGAGCUUGUUCUUUUAAAACUCUUAGUAUGCUGGCACUGCAGCUCACUAGGCUAAUCCUCCGCCUUGUGGCGCUGGCACACCGGGUGCUAGUCCCGGUCGGGGCGCCGGAUUCUGUCCCGGUUGCCCCUCUUCCAGGCCAGCUCUCUGCUGUGGCCCGGGAGUGCAGUGGAGGAUGGCCCAAGUGCUUGGGCCCUGCACCCCAUGGGAGACCAGGAUAAGUACCUGGCUCCUGCCUUCGGAUCAGCGUGGUGCGCCAGCCGCAGCACGCUGGCCGCGGCGGCCAUUGGAGGGUGAACUAACGGCAAAGGAAGACCUUUCUCUCUGUCUGUCUCUCUCACUGUCCACUCUGCCUGUCAAAAAAAAAAAAAAAAAAAAAAAAAAAGAAAAAAGAAAAAAAACCACUCUUAGUAGCUCUGUGAUAGAAUCUCUCUGCCAAGUUAGGUUUUGUUCAAUACUUGCCACAUAAACUGGAGUUGUUCAGUACCAUCCUGGGAGGAGACUUGGUUCUUUUAUCAUUCAGCAUAUUUUUUUUAUUUGACAGAGUUAGACAGUGAGAGAGAGAGACAGAGAGAAAGGUCUUCCUUCUGUUGGUUCACCCCUCAAAUGGCCUCUGUGGUCAGAGCUAUGACGAGCCGAAGCCAAGAGCCAGGUGCUUCUUGGUCUCCCAUGCGGGUGCAGGGGCCCAAGCAUUUGGGCCAUCCUCCACUGCCUUCCCGGGCCACAGCAGAGAGCUGGACUACAAGAAGAGCAACCAGGACUAGAACCCUGUGACCAUAUGGGAUGCCGGUGCUGCUGGUGGAGGAUUAACCAAGUAAGCCACAGCGCCGACCCUCAGCACAUUUUUGUUGCAAGCUAAAUUAAGGUCUUUUUUGUACCUACUCUUUUAUUUUUAAUUUUUAAAGAUUCAUUUAUUUUGAAAGUCAGAAUUUUUUAAGAAUUAUUUUUUAUUUAUUUGAAAGGCAGAGUUACAGGGAGAGGUGGGGAGGUUGUUAGAAACAGAGGUCUUCCAUCUGCUGGUUCACUUGUCAAAUGGCCUCAGUGGUUGUGGCUCUCCACUCCGAAGCAAGGAGCCACUAGUAGUUUCUUCUGGGUCUCUCUUGUGGGUGCAGGAGCCCAAGUACUUUGGCCAUCUUCUGUUGCUUUCUCAGGGAAUUACCAGAUUGCUGAAUCGUAAGUGGAACAGCCAGGACUCCAACCUGCACCCAAAUGGGAUGCCUCUGUCACAGAUGAGGCUUGCCCUACUAUACCACAAUGCCUCAGAGAGAGAGUGUGUGUGUGUGUGUGUGUUUGUGUGUGUGUGUGUGUGUGUGUGAGAGAGAGAGAGAGAGAGAGAGAAAGAGAGAGAUUGAUCUUCCAUCCUCUGGUUCACUCCCCAGAUGGCCAUAAUAGCCAGUAGGGCCAGGCAAAAGCCAGGAGCCAGGAGCUUUAUUUGCAUCUCCCACUUGUGUGGCAGGGGCCCAAACAUUUGGGUCAUCUUCUGCUGCUUUUCCAAGUCCAUUAGCAGGGAGCUGCAUCAGAAGCAGAGUGGUCAGGACUUGAACCAGCGUGCAUAGGUGAUGCCGGUGUCUCAGGCGGUACUUAAUGCCGCAGUGCCAGUCCCUGUUUUUGUACUUUAACUCACAAUAGAGUUACAGUCCCCAUAAGCCUUUGGUCAUUAAUAUCCAUCCAAGCUGUCAUCUGAGAGACAAUGGAUAAGUUCUCAUACUGUGUGAUUUCUGUCACAACCACAGGGUUCGUUUGAUUUCCUAAUGCCACUCUGAACCUCUUAGGAAUAAAAGAACUUUGACUUUUUCCAGUUUUCCCUUAAUUUUCACAUAUUCCCUCACCUAUUUUAGCAUCUUACUGUGAUUUUGAUUUACCUUUCCUUAAUAACCAAGUGUUACUGGUCAUGGCUGGGGUGGUGGCAGAGGCAGAGAGGCAGUGCAGGAGCAAGUGUUGUGGGUUCUUUUCCUCAGCUCAGUAUAGAAAUAAAAAGCCAGGAAACAAUUUGCAAAGAAGCAGAAACUUUUAUUUCAUUGUCAAGCAACAGAUAAAGCAUCUGGUCCUAGAGGAGACCAGGUGAAGUACCCGAGUGGGACACUGGAUUUCAGGAAGUGUCCAGGGUUUUUAGGGCAUUGCACUCUGUUCAUUGGGUCAUUCUAUUUGGGGUGCCCAUUGGAUGGGGGUUCCACAUACAGUAUGUUGGUUGGCUUGGGGCUCAUGAAAUAGUGGGGGUCUCCUGGAGACAGCUUGACUUUCCCCAGGGUCUCAACCCCUUCCUCUUUCAGUUCUGGAUGAAAGAUUGCAAUCACUCCUAGAUGCAGCACAAGAAACUAUUAGUGGGGAAGAUGCUAGUCGAUCUGGAGACAAGCUUUCCAGCCACAGCUGGCACCCUGGUUGUGAAGGAUGUUCUGCCUAUGUCCGAGGGGCCCACAGAACACUCAGCCCCACUGGACGGCCUAACCAAGGAUAUUGAAAAUGGUUUUCAUGUGUUUGUUAGCCAUUUGUGUCUAUUCUCUGGAGAAGUGACAUUCAUGCUCUUUGUCUAUUUUUAAAUAAAGUUGUUCUUUCUUCUUUUUGGUUGAUUUUUAGGAGUUUUAAACAUUUAUUCUAGACAUUAACUGCUAUCAGGCCUAUGAUUUAAAAAAAAUAUUUUUCCUAUUGUGGAGAAUGUCAUUUAGUUUUUUUGGUGAUGCCUUUUGGUGCACUAAUUUUUUAAUGUUGAAGAAGUCCAUUUAUCCAUAGCCUCUUUUAUAUUUGUCUCCUUGGUAUCAUUUCUAAAAAUACUCGGCCAAACCCAAAGUAAUGAAGAUCUAACCUCAUCUUUUUAUCUAAGUAUUAUAAGAUUUUGGGUCUUAUAUUUAGUCAUUGAUCCAUUUGAGUUACUUUUUGUAUAUCAUAAUGUUAUGUGUGAAAAUUCAGUUAUCCCACCAUCAUUUGUUGGGAGUGUUUGUUUUUUUUCUUCCAUUGAAUAGUUUUGGUACCCUGUCAGACAUCAGUUGGACAUGGAUGUAUAACCGGAGAAGCAAAGGGUCCUUGUCUUCACACAAGAAAGAAUUCGGGUGUGAGACAGAGAGUAGUGGAAACCAAAAUAACAAGGUUUAUUAGGGUAGGGAUAUCCAUAAGAAUGGAUGGGCACCUCUCCAGACAGGACCUGAGAGAGAGUGCAUAGUGCACAUUUAGGCUGGAGUUUUUAAGGGGAUGGGUUUUGCCUUCCCUCCCCCUCUCCUUCUUCUCCUCCCGAACAAAGGACUUGUUGGGUGUAAAUAUAAAAAAUUCCUUUCUGAGUUUCCCCCCCCUGAAGUUAUCAGACAGGGGAAGCCUGGCUAGCAUUGCUCCGCUUUAGAGGAAGGAUGUUUAUCAGGCCAGGUAGAAGGGGCAGGACCCCUGGAAGUCAUCAGGAUCCAGGCAGGACUUCUGAAAUGCAGAUACUGGGCUGCACCUGAAAGGUUAUCAGGAUGACUUUGAGAUGUGGAUGCUGGACUACUGUAGAUGUCAAUUCCUUAGCCCUUUGUCACACACACAUAAACUCAUUUCUGACUUCCUGCCUAACAGAUGUAUGGGUUUGUUUCUGGUUGCUCCAAUCUGUUCCAUUGGUCUCUGUGUCUAUCCUUAUACCAUUAUCCUUUCAAUCUUACCUCAUUUUGAGCAAACUGCCCUUAAGUCUUUCUGCUUUGUGUUCAACUCAAAGGUUGGUUUAUUUUUGUGUAGGUCUAUAUCUGGUAACUUAGACCUUGUCCCUUACUUUUCUAAGCCAUGCAUAUAAACAUAAAUUCAAUACAUCUUUCUUUCUUUCUCUCUGCUUCUCCCCUGUUCCCACCCUCCCCCCGAAAUAUAACUCUUUCAAAUAACAUCCUAUAUUUGACUUUGAAGAUUAUGUUUCCUGGUAGGUUUAUAGCCAUCAAGAACUUAACUUUUAAAACAUAUGGAUUUAAGAAUUUUUGAAUUGUCUUCUUUCUUUCUUUGAGGCAAAGAAAUGCCCUGUGACUCAGUGGAGGUCAUUUCAUUGGGAAGAAAAAUGUGUAAGAAGCUUACUGAGAGUCAGGAGAAUCUUGUUGACAGUGAAUUGUAAUGAUAGUGAAUUUUGUCCUGCCACACUCAUUUGUAUCACUUUUGAUGAAAAGCCAUAUAAAAAAUAUAUAUGUAUUUAUAUAUAUAAAAUCAUCUUAGUUCAGAAUGAAAAUUUACAAAAGAGUGGGAAUAAAAGCAGUAAAACAAAGAAUAAGUUAAGGAAAUAGAUAUUUUCAAUGUUACCCUAUGAGCAACAGUGUCAAGAUUUUUCAAGAGAGUCUGAAGACUUAGUAUUGCAUACCACGUGAAACUAAAUUGGCAUAAAAUUAAUGGAAUACUGUGGUCAAGAAAUUCGUCAUGAGGAAAAGCACCAGUAUUUGAUUGACAUAUUUCAGUUGACUUCAUAGUUUGACCGUAUAACUACCAUAUUUUUUUUUGUCUGUAGUUUUCCAGCGUGCUUGUUGGCCUAUACAUUAUCAAUGCACUAAUUGGCACCUUUGUAUCAAGGACAAAGUCUGAGUUCAUAUGAAAGUCUCAAGAUGGAAACAGUUAAAUUUUUUCAGGACAGUCAUGAUACUUCUAAAUGAUAAAUCUGAAUCCAGGGUAACACUUGCUUUGCAUUUUUAAAGAAGCUGUAUUAAGUAGCAUUUUAAACAACAAUGAAGCCAACAAACAGGAUCUUUGCUCUCUCUGAAGAGAAUUUACCUGGUCAUUUACAAAUACCAUUCUAACACCAUAGACAUGCUGUGUUGUCUACCCACAUAGUUUUCUUCAUCCCUGAAGGAAGUCUCUGUGGGAGAUGCCUCACAGCAUAUCCAUGCUGCCUACUUGUGGAGAGUUUGACUCAUUCGUUGGCAUUUAGAGGAAGAAACUGUUAUAAAUCUCAGACAUUUACAGUAAUGUAUUUCAAAAUGUGUGUGUGUGCGUGUGUGCGUGUGUGCGUGUGUGUAUUAGGAUAUUGAGGGAGCAGGAAGGGAAAUUUGAGGAGAAAUGAGAGAAACUGGUACUUACUGUCAUGACACAGACUUUCCAUAAUGUUCUGAUUUUUCUUAGCAUUUUCUAGGGCAGAGGUUUUUUUCUCAUGGUGUGAUAGAUCUAAAAAAGAUUAAUGAAUAAGUUUCAGGAGUACCAAAAGCUGCCUGAAAUAGUAUGACAAAUGUAUUGCAUAUGUGAAUUUUUCUGGAUAGAAGUUUUAUAGUUUUCUCAAGUGUUUCUGAUUCAGAAAACUCUUAAGAACUAAUAUAUAGAAAAGUUGGCAGAGAGUUUAUUAUUUUAAAAUACAGAUUUGUUGGGGAGAACUGUGCUAAGGAGAAUUCUGAGGUAUAGCAGAAAAGACUGAUAAGCAAUAUCCAUAAGGUAUGUGUGUGGUAGGGGAAGUAUUUGCUAUCUGUAAUUUAAAGUGAACUGUUCCAGAAAGUUUGCCAAAUCCUUCUGUCCUUAAGGGAUUAUUUAAGAAGCAUUACCUAGGGUUGAAGGAAAGUGCAACACAAAAGGGAUAUUUCAGCUUAGGCUAUGCAUGAAUUAGAAAAUUGAUUUUAAAAUACUUGAUCAUGGCUGUAGAUUUUUAAAUAGUAUUCCAUUCGUGAUAUUUUGUAUGUUGGAACCAUUUGUAUUUUUUCAGCAGUUUUUAAACAAAUGUAGAAUUAAGUUAAGAAAUAUUCUUUUGGGGCUGGUGUAGAAUUAAGUUGCAGUGCUAGCAUCCCUUAUGGGUGCUGGUUUGAGUUCUGGCUGCCCCAGUUCUGAUCCAGCUCCCUGCUAAUGUGUCUUGGAAAGCAGCGGAAGAUGGCCUAAGUCUUUGGGCUCCUGCCACCCAUAUGGGAGACCUGGGAGAAGCUCCUGGCUUCUGGCUUCAGCUUGGCUCAGCCCCAGCCAUUAUGGCCACUUGGGGAGUGAACCAGCAGAUAGAUGAUCUCUUUCUCUCUCUCCUUUCUCUCUCUCCUUCUCUCUCUCUGUAUCUCUGUCUUUCAAAUAAAUAAAAAAAAUCUUUAAAAAAUAUUAUUUGGUGGCAAAUUCAGCAGUUAAAUAUAUGAACACAGCUAUUGAUUAAUUUAAUUGCAACUGUGAAUAUGCAUUGAAGACCAGAAUUUGGCCCUUUGUGUCUAUGAUUCUGAGAAAACAAAAUGGAUAAUAUAUGAAAUUCUGAAGCUAGUAUAUAGGAGAAUUUACAAUAGAAAUGAAGUGAGCUCUCUAUAUAAUAUUGCAUAAGUCAUUGUCUGUGGGGAGCAACUGGGAGCAACUCGGACUAGACUAAGUUACUGGAAUUAAGACUUAUUCUAUACAUCUGCUCUCCCACAAUAUGGCGCUGGGAGAGGAGCAAACAGCUUCCACCCAGCUGCCUCUCACCAACUUGACAAGCUGCAGGACCUGCUCCUGAUUGGAGGAGAGCAGCGUACUCGGCGUGUGGGUAGCAGAGUUGGGAUUGGUGGAAGAGGACUAUAAAGGAGGAGAGAGACAACAUGCACCAGGAACAUCUAAAGGGAACGUCUAUCUGAAGGAACACCUGUGCAGCCCCCGAGAGAGCCGGCCGGCGGUGUGCCGCUCCCCCGCGGAAGUGGGGAAAGUGGCAGGGGGAACCGCCCUUCCACGGAGGUGGAAGUGUCGGUAGCCAACCCGGGAAGAACCAGCAGCAAACCCGGGGAGGGCCGAGCAGACGAAAGAACAGCGCAGGGUCUAGUGUCGCUCCUCCACGAAGAGGGGGAGCGACAUAAUGGUGCCGUGACUCGGAUAGGAAACCUAGGCAGGAUUUAGUGUCGUUCCUCCGCGAAGAGGGGGAGCGACAAUUGUCUGCUAAUCAUUUAGAGACUUGGGAUGCCUAAAAGCAUCCUCCUUUGUCCACUCUGAGCUUCUGGCUUCCUUGAUGUCCCAGAGCAAACAAAUCCGUAAAAGGAAAGAACUUCUGAUCUUCACUCUUACCUCAAAAGGCAAAGGGAAAUGUCAAGAGUGGAGAAACGGAGAUCCAGCUGACCUUCAUCAAAGGGCACUGCAUCUUUUAUGAGUAAGGAUUCUUGAAGUCAGUGUACCAAUAUAGGGGCUCUCUUCUUCUCACUCGCUCUGGCAAAAGUGAGAAUCCCAAGAAAGGUUUUGGAGGAGCCUAACCAAGCCCUUUAGAUGAAGUUUCAGCCCAUUAAGAAAUAUUUGUUCAUCACAAAUUCAGGGCAAGAUAUUGGACUUGUUGCUGGGGAUGCAUUAUGAAUCAGACGUUGAUAUCACCUGCAAGGCUCUUCCAGUACAGUAGGAGACCUAAAGUGUGUUUAUGGAUCACUCCAAUAGGAGGUGGAAAUCUCAAGUGCCAUAACACACUGCAGGUGCAUUGUUACAAGAACUCAGAGGGAGAAUGACCUCAGGACACACAGGUGCCUGCCAGUCAUCCCAGUUUGCUUGCUGGCUUCAUGCCUGGAAUCCAGUGAAUGUGGUAAUGGGGUGACUCCUCUUCUGGCUGGGUGUCUGCUAAAGUGCUCUUAGCUUAGCUGCCUGAGUAGCCAGAGUAGCCACUCUGUGAGCAGGAAUGUGAUACCGCACCUUGAGAGAGAAACUGAAUGCAUGUUUUUAGGUGCUACAACUAUCUUUAUAAUUUGACUAUUUAAUGCAAGCAUCUUUGUGGUUUGUCUUCAUGGCAGAACAUUUUAAUGAUUCAUUUUCUUAGUAAAGUAUUAUGCUAAUUUUUUUCUCAGUAUAGCCAGGAGUUGACUUGCUGCUUCAACAAUAAAUUAGCCUCUCUUAAGCAUAAGUCAAAGAGUAAAAAACAUAAAGAAUACUAUUGUGCAGUUCUGCAAUGUCAUUGGUAGUUAAAUAUAUUUAUUACUUUCAGAAAUGUUACUUAACUUUUAUACUCAAAUUCUCCUAAUUUGAAAAAGGCAAGGAAAAAUCAGAGAAUAAUCAAAUACUUGGUACAUAUCUCAAGAUAACUAUGUUUCCUAUAGUUUAUAGAAAUUAUUCCUUAACACCAAAUAGUAAUCCCUAGCCAGGAAAAAGGGAUGAAUAAUUAAAGUUUUUCAUACAAAUUUCUCAACAAAAUAGUUCUUAAGGUUAAAACAAUUUAUUGCUGAACUGAGAAAUUGUAAGCCAAAGCCUACUGAAGGAAUUCUGCAUUUCUUAGGUGUUUUGAGAGUAUCAUUCAAAGAAGAAAUUGCUGAAUCUGUCCAUGGAGUAAACCACCAACCAUUGUCUUUCAGUUCUCAACACUUGGAGAAAACUAGAACUUAGAGAGUUAAUAUCCACUCCAACUUCAUAUAUUCCUUCAUGUCCUUCUUAUUGUCUUUCUAUUGAAAUCAACUCCACUCCUCCAUUGACAACUUUCAUGUAGCUGUCAUUUUGAGGAAUGCAGACUAAUAGGAAUUAGUUAUUCCUAUUCCCCUGGGAGGAAGAAAUGAAGAGGAGAAGAGAGCCCAUGAAUGGCAUAGGAACAAAGUGGAGUCCAUAUGGAAAGAAAUAUGACAGUGAACAAAAGCAUUCCUCUCCUCACCAGGAAGAAACCUUUUUGCCAACAGUUUAUGGAUUGUUCUUAGACUCUGAUGAGGACUAAUGAAAUUAUGAGGUCUUCUAGCCUUGAUUGGAUUGUGAGAGACAAAAGAUUAAUUUAUUUGGAAGUCAGAGUCACACAGAGAGAGGAGGAGAGGCAUAGAGAGAGAGGUCUUCCAUUCGCUGGUUCACUCUCAAAUUGGCUGCAACAGACGGAGCUGUGACGAUCCAAAGCCAAGAUCCAGGAGAUACUUCCAGUUCUACCACGCAGGUGCAGGGACCCAAAGACUUGAGUCAUCUUCUGCUGCCUUCUCAGGCCAUAGCAGAGAGUUGGAUGGGCAGUGGGGCAGCUGGAACUCCAAACAGUGCCCAUAUGGGAUGCCGGCACUGCAGGUGGUGGCUUUACCCACUAUGCCACAGUGCCUGCCCCUAUAUCUGUGUUUUCAGCCAUCUCAGAUUGCACAUAUUCAGGAAAAUAAUUUCACAUAACCUGAAUAUGUACAGGCCAUUUUUCUUGUUAAUAUUCCCUAAACAAUAUAGUAUAAACACUAUUUAUACAACAUUUACAUUGUAUUUGGUAUUAUAAGUAAUCUAUAGAUGAUUUCAAGCAUGUGGGAUGAUUUGCAUAACAUAUAUGUAUAUACUGAAUUUUAUGUAAGUUACUUGAGCAUCCACUGAAUUAGGCAUCCAUUAAUGGAUGGAUCAUGGAAUCAAGCCCCCAUGGUUACUGAAGGAUGACUAUACUUUAGGUUACAAUCCAAUACUACAUUAUUUUGUUGCUUGAAAUUCACCUGUUUUGACAAUUUUGGAACUCUUUCAUUUGGUUCCCAUGUUUCUUUGCAUAUCCAUGUCAUUGCAUAUUUUUACUUUGAGCAUUUCCUUAAUUUUUUGCACUGUAAGAGAAUUGAGCCUCAUCCUUUAUAUAUCUUGUCCUCAUUUUAAAUGAACCAUUUCUCUAAGGAAGCUUAGUUUCUUUUAAAGAAGAGUGGAGAAUUAUAAUUGGAGAAUGGUACUAGAAAUAAGAUCUGGGCACUAAAUAUACUUGUAAAUAAUAUACUUAAAAACGUAUUUCUAAUUAUUCUUGGUUUAUAGGUGCAUAAUUCAAAUAGGUAUUUUGAUGUGGCAUCUAGUGACAUGGUAUGAUAUAAUAAAUAUAGUAGCAAUUUUGUGGGUUGCUUGGAUUUAUAUAAACAAUCAUGUCAUCUGGCAUGUGGACAUUUUUUCUUUCUUUUUUCUAAUAUGCCUAUCAUCUAUAUCAUUUUCUUGUCUUAUUGCAAUAGAGUGUCUCAGUCUUUUGAUAUGAUGUUUAAUGAGACUAUUGUGAUGAACAUCCUUGCUUUAUUCUUUUUUCUUUUUAUUUUAAAUUUAUUUAACAGGUAGAGUUAGAGAGAAAGGUCUUCCUUCCAUUGGUUCACUCCCCAAAUGGCUGCUACAUCCAGAGCUCUGCCAGUCUGAAGCCAGGAGCCAGGUGCUUCUUUCUGGUCUCCCAUGUGGGUGCAGGGACCCACGCACUUGGGCCAUCCUCCUCUGCAUUCCUGGGCCACAGCAGAGAGCUGGACUGGAAGAGAAGCAACCGGGACUAGAACCCGGUGCCCAUGUGGGGUGCCGGCGCUGCAGGCUGAGGAUUAACCAAGUGAGCCACGGUGCUGGCCCCUAUUCUUUUUUUUUUAAGAAUUAUUUUAUUUAUUUGAAAGACAGAAUUAUAGAGAGAGGUAGAGACAGAGAGAGAGGUCUUCCAUCCAAUGGUUCACUCCCCACAUGGCCACAAUGGCCGCAUCUGUGCCAAUCCUAAGCCAGGAGCCAGGAGCUUCUUCCAGGUCUCCCAAGUGGAUGCAGGGGCCCAAGGGCUUGGACCAUCUUCUACUGUUUUCCCAGGCCAUAGCAGAGAUCUGGUUUGGAAGAGGAGCAGCCGGGACUAUAACCAGCACCCAUAUGGGAUGCCUGUGCUUCAGGUUAGGGCAUUAACAUGCUGUGCCACGGUUCUGGCCCCUGCCUUAUUCAUAAUAUUAAAGGGAAACAUUUAAUUUCUCCCUAAGUUUUCAUAGAUACUCUUUAUCAAAUUGAGGGAACUGACAUAGGCAAUAAAGCCCAUGAAACUAAUUGUUCUUCUUUUAAAUCAUUAGUUAUCCUUGAAGAGGUUAGUGGAAAUGAGAAAGAAAAAGGUGUUUUAAAACUUAGCAUUGAUAUUUCCUGUUAAUCAUGUCUUUGAAUAGAUCUAAACUUCCAUGUGAUGUCAUUUCCUUUUGCUUAAGGAAUUUCCCUUAACAUUUCUUAAAAUGUUGUUCUGUCAAAGAUGAAUUCUCUCCAUUUUUAUUUGUCUAAAAAACUCCUUAUUUCAAUUCACUUUCGAAACUUUUGUUGAGUAGAAUAUUCUGUGUUGACAAUGUUUCUUCCAUUUCAGUGAGUAUGUCACUUUGUUUUCUUCUGGCUUAUACAGGUUUUUUUUUUUUCUUGUGCAAGAAGUUUGUUAUAUUCUUUGUUUAUAUAGAUUGCCUUUUUGUCCUAUGACUAUUUCACUUAUUUUCAAUUUGUAAAAUUGAUUAAAAUGAACCUUUAUCCAUCUCCUUAAUGAAAAAUAUCCCUGUUUCAUUUCAGGUAGUUUCUGUUACAAUAGCUUCAAGUUCACUUAUCUUUUCUUCAGUAGCCUUGAAUCUGUUGCCAACUUCAUUUAUUGCCCUUUUUAUUUCACAUGUUGUCAUCUUCAUGUUUAGAAUGUUGAUUCUUUUAAAAAAUAAUCUGUUUUAUAUAUUUUCUCAUUUGUGUAUUCUUUCUUACAUCCUUGAACAUGUGGAUUAUAUUUUUAAUAGUGACCCUAACAUUCUUAUCUGUUAAUUAUAUCAUUGUUAUUUCUGAGUUUCUAUUUAUUGAUUUAUUUGUCUCUUUUUAGAGUGCUAUUUUUUGCUUUGCAUGACUGGCUCUUUUUAUUAGAUGCUGGGCAUUGUAGAUUUCACAUUAUUUGAUGAUGAAUUUUUGAGAGCCUCCCCCCCCCCUCUCUCACACACACACACACACACACACACACACACACAGAGAGAGAGAGAGAGAGAGAGGAAAAGAAAGAGAGACAGCCAGACACUCCCAUCUAUUGGUUCACUAACUCAAUACCUGCCUGCAAUGGCCAGGAGCUGAGAUGGGGCCAAGGUUAGGAACGUGGAACUCAGUUCAGGUCUCUCAUGUGGAUGACAGAAUCUCAACCACUUGAGUCAACUCUGCUGUCUCCCAGGGUACAAUAAGCUGGAGCCAGAAACUGCAAGUCAGGGAUGGAUUUGGGACAUGGGCAUCUUAACUACUAAACUAAAUGUCUGUUCCCUGAUGAUGAAUUUUAUGUAUCUUUUUCAAUAACAUUGGGCUUGGUUUGGAGAUUCAGUUAGGUUUACUUGGAAUCAGCUAAUUUCCAGCUUGUCUUUAAGAAUUGUUGUUUGUGGACCUACAACAGCGUUUAUUUUUGAGUUAAUUUGCCCCAUCACUAAGGCAAUAACUAUUUGACUAAUGUCAGUGAUUGUUUUGCUGGUUGCUUUUUUUUUUUUUUUACCCAGAAACCUUUUAUUUAAGGUAUACACACUUCAUGCAUUUCAUAAAUACAAAUUUAUGCAUGUGCUACUCAGAACUUAGCUGAUGGCGUGAUGGUUCCCUUUUGUAUUGAUAUAUCUUGGGGCUUUCUUGGCAGUUUCCUACUUUUCAGUAUUCUGCUCCACAAAAGCUUGCCACUCUGGCCUGCCUUAAUAACAUACUCUAUCCCUUCAUUUCCACAAAACUGCUGGGUUCUUCUUGGAUUCAGUUUUUCUCCUGGCUUGGAAAUUGUUCUGAGGUUAUGAAAUGAGUCCAUUGCAGUAUUUACUUCAUAGUCCUCUGCUGCCUGUUUCCAAUGUCUGAAAGAUGUUCUUUUUUUUUCUAAGCACCUGGGUAUUUAAUAUGGCUAGGUAAAUCUGAUCCCCUGUUUCCCAGCAAAGACAGUUGUUAAAGUUUGUAAUGUUCUUAUGACACUCAGUCUCUAAGUGUGUUAACUUAUAGCCAUACACUUACCCAAUAUCAUUACUCUUGGAUUCAGAACCUGGUUUCUACACUGAUAGUGUUUUGUUCUAAAAGUUAAAUCAAGCCACCUCUCUGUGUUCUUCCCUGUAAGGAAGUUGCAUGGGAUACUUUUCACAUCACCUCCAUGUAGCACUAUAGUUGCUCCCAAGUAGACCCCCAUUCUUAAGAUACAAGGUUUUUAGACUUCCAGAAGACAACCCUGAUAGUCAGACAGGACAGGCUGAUAUAAUGGCUGAUGCUGAAUAUCUCUAUAGGAUAUACAGAGCAAGGCGCAACAUGGUGCCAGAACUCCCAGGAAGAGCAGUUUUCACAAUUCAGCUCCAGAAGAUUACAUUCGCAUCAGAACUGAUGCGGGUGUCAUUUCCUGCAGUUUUACAGCACAAUCCUUACUGUAGUGUAUGGCAGACUUGAAAUGCACCAUGCUUGAUUAAGCAGACUCUUUAUUCAGCUGAUGAGAGCUUGGGCAGCAGACCUGGAAGACCACUCCCUUGUCAAUAAGUCCAUAGCACUCUGGAAAUGCUUCCUUCUUGUUUGCUCCAGAGUCAUCAGCCUUAAUCAAGAGUACAAUGGAAGUUAACUGUGAAGAACAGAAGGCACUGCUUGUUAGAAGGACUAAAGGAGAAUGAAACAAUUAACUGCUUCUCUGGAAGAUGAUACAUUAUACUGUAGAGUUUCUGAUGAAAAAUCAGCUGUGAAUCUAAUUGGAGAUCCUCUGAAGGUCUUUAAAAAAGAACUGAACUGUGUGGCAUUUGCUGUCAGCCAUAUUCACAAGAGUAUGGAUUUAGGUAAGGAUUAAAUUCUAAAAGAUUUAUCUAAGCAGUACAGAUGAUCAAUAUGUACAUAUGUUUAUAAAUAAGAUAGCCAUGAAAAAUUACAUGAGUAAUGGAAGUAGGUAAGAAAAAACAAUGGCCUGUAAUUAAUGAGCGAAGUGGAAUAUAGCCAGCAGGAAUGCUAAAAUAGAAAUUUUAUCUGUUUAGCUUUGAAUAUAUUAUAGGAAACAGUAACCCAGUUUGCAUAAAGUUUUCCUUCCUACCUUCAUUAGGAUAACUGGUGGAAUUACUUGUGUGUUUUGCUGUCUCAAAGGAAAGACAUUCAUCAGAUGGUAGGUUAUGUUCAGACAACAAGUGGACUUAUUCAAAUUUUAAAGAAAAGGAAAUAACUAUCAGCCUACAUUUUAAAAAUGCCUUGACUAUCAUUUCUUGGGGGAAUGUCAACUGGACUGUGAGACUGUAGACAUCCACUGACUGAACUUGGUAAUUCAGCAAAUGUGCCCUUACAGACUUGUGCUGAAAUCAUCUUCCUUGAACUAAACACUGAUUAGAAUCACAUUUAUUCAUGAAUUUUAGCACUAACUACUGAUUCUUGCACUUACAUAGCUUGAGUGUGGUAAAAAUGUAGAAACACGACAUUGGAGGGAAAGGAAUUUCUAGAUAUUAUAUGCAUAUAGGACAGUUAUUUAAAGGUGAAACAUUCAAACAUCAGAGAGCUCUUUCAGUGAGAUGGCUUUCUUUUCUUCCGCCCUCAAUUGAAGAUGUAAACCCUGCUUUAAGCAGAGGCAGGAUCCUGCAAUCCCAAGUGGUAUAACUGUUUAAAUGUGGACCAGAAUAGAAUAUUUGUGUGAAAUGGGUUAUAUAACAGAUAUGAUUACUAUCUUUCUGAAAUUCUUUGUGCUCUUGUGGAAAGGUAUUUAUCAGAAUGAGUACAAUAGCUCUCUACUUGUGAUCCCAAAUCACAAGGACAGGUUGAUCAAAUUCAGUGGCAUUAUAGGAGAAUGAUCUGGUGGCUGUGAUAAUCAUCCUGGCUGUGCCCUUUGAAGAUAAAGAUGGGAAUGGCAGUAAGAGUCAGAUGCAAGGCUGGCAAAAUUAAAAUUGAUGACCACAUUACACAUUACACUCAAGCUCAUGCAUUAUACUCAAUAAAAGGGACCAUGCAAUACAAAUAGGAAAGGCACGAUUCCUGCUGAUUUCUAAUUAUAUCCCUUCUUUCCAUCUGUUUCUAUUCUAGCACCUUAAUUCAUUCUAGUAGAGAGAGAAACGGUUUCUUUAAGAUUUAGGAGCCAAUUUGAAGGUUUUUUUUUUAAGUGUAAAAUAUAAUAAAAAUAUGAAAUAAAUUCUAUUAUUUGCUGAAGUUUCACAAGGCCACUGAAAAUAUGAGUGUUUAUGAGGUUAGUGUGAAAUAUGGAGAUUACUCCAAGAUAUUGGAUGGGAUUUUCAACUUUGAUAUGCCGAACAUUGCCUAGGCAUUGACAAGGUUGAAACACAUAAGAAAUUUACUCUUUAUUCAAGGAUGGAAAUACGAGCUUGAAUAAUAUCUGCAGAAUAAAUUAUCUUUUCUUAAGUCCAAAGUCAUUAAACAUGGAAAGACAGGGUUCUUAAAGUUGUAACUAAUAGGGUUUCACAAGUACUCCCAGCAAGGGAGUACUUGCUGGGAAAGGAAGGGCAACUAUAGAGUGGGGUAAAGGAGAAAUAAGCCCUGUGAAGAAGUGUUAAGGCAAAUGAGAUAUUUGAUAUAUUAUCAUUGGUUGAUACUGUGACCACAUGUCUUGCUCUACAGAAUAUCCUAUGGAAUGUCAUAGAGUCCUGUAUGCUGUUCACUAAGAUUUUCUGUAUGGCAGAAACUUAUGUUCUUGAGAAUUCCCACAUUUGCCCUACAAACAUAAAUCGUUAUUUUGUAAGUUUUGAUAAUUCCUUUCUACUUUUUGUCCUCAUUUAUCUCUUCAUCCCGGGAUUUUUUUUUUUCCAUCAGAUUUAGCCCCUAGCCUUCUUCAACUCUCAAGCCCUUAUCAGUUGUUCAUAUCAGUGCAGAAUAAUCUCAUUCUUUCUGGCUUUCAGCCUGGAAUGCCUUUUCUAGUUCCUUUUUCUGGCAACUUCAUAUUUCAAGUGUUCCCUGUUUUGGUUGUUAGGGGAAGGUUGCUGUGGGGAGCAACUCAGACUAGACUAAGUUACUGGAAUUAAGACUUAUUCUAUGCAUCUGCUCUCCCACAAUAUGGCGCUGAGAAGGAAAACAGCUUCUGCACAGCUGCCUCUUGCCAACUUGAGUGAUGACCUCCAGGAGCUGAUCCUGCUCCUGAUUGGAGGAGAGCAGCGUACUCGGCGUGUGGGCAGCCGAGUUGGGAUUGGCGGAGGAGGACUAUAAAGGAGGAGAGAGACAACAUGCACCAGGAACAUCUAAGAGGAACACCUGUGCAGCCCCCGAGAGAGCCGGCCGGCAGUGUGCUGCUCCCCUGCGGAAGUGGGGAAAGUGGCCAGGGGGAACCGCCCUUCCACGGAGGUGGAAGGGUCGGUAGCCAACCCGGGAAGAACCAGCAGCAAACCCGGGAAGGGCCGAGCAGACAAAAGAACAGCGCAGGGUCCUGUGUUGUUCCUCCACGAAGAGGGGGAGCGACAGGUUGCCUUCCUGCUAUACUACCAUUGCUCUUUGUAAACAUCUCUGUGGCAUCAGUUGCCAUGAUUGGUUGAAAUCUGUUUAUAUUCAUGUUUCUCUGAUGAGACUAUAAGGGACCUUCUCACCAACACUUGGUUCAAUAUGUAGUAUGUAGUAGAUUCUUAAUCAAAAUUAAAUAUUUACUGACUAAAGUUUAAGUGGCUACUGAAUAAAAGAGUGAGUGAAUACAAGAAGGAUUGAUUGUAUGGCAAUGCUGGAGCUAUACUGAUUAACCCAAUUAUCUGAACUCCCUUAGUACCUGGAGUAGUCAAUAGAAAUUAUAUCACAUUUUUCAAGUGUAUAAUCUGUUUAUAAAAGUUGAGGAAUUAAACAGCAAAUCAAUAUUUCAAAACAGGCAGAAGUCUUCAUUUUCUUGAUGUUUAAAUGUAUAUAAACCUUAGUAAGAAGAAAAAAUAUAAAAUAAAAGAAUAGAGGUGACCUUAGAAAACAUUGAGCCAAAUUUCCAGAGAGAAUGUUGAUAAACUUUCCUAAGGUCUCACACUUGAUUAUUGGCAGAGGACCAAAACCCAUCUCCAAACCCCCAGUCCUGGGCACUUUUCUCUGUUCUCACUGCGGUGACAACUCGAUUUCAAAUGCUUAUACACCCAGCAUAGAAUACAGAUAAUGUGUUUCUCUUCUUUUUUGCUCUCACUGAAUAAUUUUCAGCAGUUCUUCCAAUUGCUUUCUGUUGGCCUGCUGUGCUCUGCUGAGUUCACCCUUGCAGAGGACAUCUAGUCAUAUAGCAAAGAGAAUUAUCCAGUAUUUUUUUCCAGUAUCACCUCAAUCAGUCCACAAAUUAUUUAUUGACCACUUGCGAUGUGACCAACACAGAGCUAAUAUGAUAGAGCUGACUGCUUUUAAACUCAAUGCAUCAAUUAAAUAGUACUCUAUGUGAAUUUUGACUUGGCAAACCUCAAGUGACAAUAUUUUUCAAGGUCACUGUGAAACCCAUGAUGGGAACUCAGUAAUUAACCUUAUAUGGAAUCAUGCAGUUUGGCCUGACACCUGGUGUAAGCUUUAAGAUGUCAGAUGCAAAGUAUCCAGAUUCUGUCCUCAGAUGUUCAAAGACUGUGUCCUUAUGGCCUUUACAUUUUGUGACGGAGCCUGAACACCCAAGUGGUAAUAGAAUGAGAAGGACAUUCCUUUUAUUAUAGAGUUUUGAAUGAUUCAUUCAACUUUGGAUUAGGACCAGGGUAGGUUCGGAGUGAUAAUGACCAUUGAGGGUUAUGACAAUUUUUGCUAUUACUUUUCCUUCAAAUUCCUUACCUUGUAUGACUCAGACUUUGGUGGAAAUAUAAGAAAUGGAUAUUUUCUAUAAUUUAGCUCAUUAAUUCAUAGUGCUUGGUGUACCUGGCCUGAGGAGCUGCUAGCAAAUGGUAGCUGGUUUGCUGCCUAGAGGGGAUGAAGAGGCACAAGCACAUAACAAGGCUCAGGUGACUGUGGAGUCAGACUAAUUCUUGGCAUCACCACAGUGUUGGCUCAGGAAGGGCUUUCACAUUUGCGUAUGAGUGUUUUCUUCCUGUUGAGUGGACACUAUUUGAGAAUGAAGUAGCUUCAGAAUAGAGUUGCCCAUUACUUAGAUAAAUAAAUUUGAAUUGCAGAUAAGCAGCAAACAACUUUUUAUUCUAAAUAUGCCAAAGCUAUUUCUGGGACACACUUAAUAUUAAUAAAAUUGUGUGUACUUCAGAUUCAAAUUUACUUGGGGAUUCUGCAUUUUUAUUAACUGACAAUUUAAUUUGGACAGGACCUUAUGUCUGUCAGUUACAUUAGGGGGAAAGAAGGAGCUUGAUGUAUUACUGCAAGACAUUCUGUGAAAUCCAUGUUGCCUAGCUAUGUGAACUGGUUCUUUUGAAAUCAGUUUAGCAAGGUCAGGAGAUUGUAAUACUGGGAUGGAAGACUGGCUGGAAUAAGUUUUAGGAAAAGUAUUGCAUCUUGGUUAUAGACAUGAACUUGUAGCCAAAUGAUAAGAGCUUGAAACCUGACUCUGAUGCUGUUAAUUAUGUUACUUUGGGCAGAUUACUUUAACUUCCUACACCCCAACUUCUUCAUCUCUGAAAUGGGGAGAAUAGUAUCUAGCUUAAAGUGAUUGUAAAGAUGAAUAAAAUUAAAACUGUGUAAAUGUUAAUUAUCAUUAGAGACACUCAAAAUUUUUUGAUAUAUUUUGACUUAUUUUGUAAGUUAACUUUAGGCUUUUUAUAAUUAAACUCCUCACCUAUUUUGCAUUAAUUCAUUGCACAAAGGGUAUUAACUUAAUCAUAUGUCCUGAGCAUUUAUUUGUUUAAUCAAAUUAUAUAAAUUUUAAUUGCAUGACCAUUGGAGUCUCUAUGUUAAAUAAGUUUUGCCAACUUCUAUAAUAUCACACUAGCAGGAGGAGAAUGCUCCAUGAAAGUGAUCCAGGAGAAAGCAAUUUUAAACUUAAUUUAAACAUAAAUACAGCAAAAUAAUAGCUAAAUGCUUCCAUGAAGUCCAAGUGAAGUCUACAUUUAAUAAAGUUGUUAUGAAACAAGCAGUUAUUUCCUUACAUUGCCAUGAAAAUGUGCCACAACUAUGAUAUCAGUAUGGUAUUAGAAAGAAGAAAAUGUACAAUGAGUUCACAAGCGUUUAAUGAGAAAUGUGGACUGAAAAUUUGCUGAGCAAGAAAUCUUUAGGCAUUUUAGAUAAUGUCACAAGUCUGAUUCAAUGUAAUCAUGCCAUUACACUUUAAAGUAUAAAUAUAAUUUAGAUUUCUCUCUUUGGUUUGUGAAAGAAAACUCAUUCUAUUCUAUCUUUUUUUUUAAUAAGCUAGAUAUAGUGGAGUUUUUCAGCUUUGGUUGAAACAUAAAUGAAAAUAUAAUUUCAUUUACAUAUAAAUUAAAUUAUAUCUAGUUAUACAGCAAUUGCCACUUGAAAUUAGAGAAAAAAUAUAUUUCACAGGCUUUGGGAAAGAGGGUUUUGAAGAUCUUGGAAUUAAAGGUCCAUUGGCCAGUGCUGACUGCAUUGAGAGCCAGCCAAAGUGUGAUGCCUGCAGGGUUGAGACAGAUUUUUCUGGCCUUGAGCCCCUUGUGAUUCUGGGUAUAAUAAUUCAAGGAGAACUUUGGUCUUUCUUGUUUAAAGAAUUAUUUAUUCGUUUGAAAGGCAGAAUGACAGAGAAAGAGGAGGGAGAAAGAGAGAGGGAGAGAGAGAGGGAGAGGGAGAGAGAGAGAGAGAGAGAAAGAGAGAGAUCCUCCAUUCAUUGAUUCACUCCUCAAAUGCCUGUAAGAGCAGACACUGAUCCAGGCUGAAGUCAGGACCCAGGAACUCCAUCUGUGUCUCCUACAUGGAUGGUAGGAACCCAAGCAGUUGUACUAUGCACAUUAGAGUAAAACUACUACUCAAACAGUAUUUUAUACAUUGUGUAUCUGUGUGGAUGUAAACUGUUGAAAUCUUUACUUAGUGUGUAAUAAAUUGAUCUUCUGUAUAUUAAGAUAAUUGAAAAUGAAUCUUGAUGAAGAAUGGGA
Molecule: non-coding RNA, 30080 nt
Organism: Oryctolagus cuniculus (rabbit)
Lineage: Eukaryota; Metazoa; Chordata; Mammalia; Lagomorpha; Leporidae
Source: RefSeq, a predicted model, not a curated record